UACGGGGGGGGCAAGCGUUGUUCGGAAUUACUGGGCGUAAAGGGCGCGGAGGCGGGUGGACAAGUCUCUCGUGAAAGCCCACGGCUCAACCGUGGAAUUGCGGGAGCUACUGGCUGUCUUGAGUCCGGGAGAGGAGGGUGGAAUUCCCAGUGCAGCGGUGAAAUGCGUAGAUAUUGGGAGGGACGCCGGGGGCGAAGGCGGCUCUCUGGACCUGUACUGACGCUGAGUCGCGAACGCUAGGGGUGCAAGCGAG
Molecule: ribosomal RNA, 253 nt
Filed under: uncultured bacterium
Lineage: Bacteria
Description: partial 16S ribosomal RNA
Rfam family: Bacterial small subunit ribosomal RNA
Source: RNAcentral